ACUUGACCUGAUAUCAGAUGGGACUACCCCCUGAACUUAAGCAUAUCAAUAAGCGGAGGA
This 60-nucleotide ribosomal RNA is filed under the name Cunninghamella phaeospora. RNAcentral's name for it is "partial 28S ribosomal RNA". The record is from RNAcentral. Lineage: Eukaryota; Fungi; Mucoromycota; Mucoromycetes; Mucorales; Cunninghamellaceae.